RNAcentral lists this ribosomal RNA (376 nucleotides) under uncultured bacterium. RNAcentral's name for it is "bacterial SSU rRNA". It matches the Rfam family "Bacterial small subunit ribosomal RNA", at positions 524 to 898 of the family's 1533-position model. The record is from RNAcentral.
UACGUAGGUGUCAAGCGUUGUUCGGAUUUAUUGGGCGUAAAGGGUCCGCAGGUGGCCUGGCAAGUCUGAUGUGAAAUCCCGAAGCUCAACUUCGGAACUGCAUUGGAAACUGCUAGGCUAGAGUAUCGGAGAGGAGAUUGGAAUUCCAGGUGUAGCGAUAAAAUGCGUAGAUAUCUGGAAGAACAUCGAAAGCGAAGGCAGAUCUCUGGACGGUUACUGACACUCAGGGACGAAAGCAUGGGGAGCAAACAGGAUUAGAUACCCUGGUAGUCCAUGCCCUAAACGGUGUGAACUUGAUGUAGGAGGAUUUACUCCCUUCUGUGUCGAAGCUAACGCGUUAAGUUCACCGCCUGGGAACUACGGCCGCAAGGCUAAA